CCCUCUUCUUAGUGCAGAUGGAGAGCAGAAUCGCUGCUAUCGUCUAACACCACAUAUCUCCCCACCAUUACCAUUCAACAUCGCCUAUCUCGCCCACCAAAGUGUGCUACUGACUGCAGGCAGGGUCUGUCGUACCGAACCGUACCGCCCGGUACGGACGGUACAUACCGGUCCGACAGAUUGUCGGUACGCGGACCAUCUGUUACCGGUCCGAGUGCACUGUAGCACUGUAGCAGUGCUACAGUACUCGGAUACACCUGGGUGUACUGCUCGAUAUACCGUAUCGUACCGGUACCGAGCCCAGGUCGAAAUACCGGUACGGUACUGUAUUACGAACCUUGACUGCAGGUAUACUUCAUCGCUUCCUCUUCUUCCUUCUUCCUUCUCUUCCUCCAUUGCCUCUUCUUCCUUCUCCUCCUUCCUCCCCAUUUGUUCCUCUUCUCCUUUUUCUUCCUCUUUUAAACACCGGUACAUACGAAUCUGGUAGGGACCAAUACAGAUCUAGUACAUACUGGUCCGACCAGGGACCAGUAUAGUCUUGAAUUUGAUUAAUGUAAUUACUUUCUAGAAAUUGUCAUGUGUUAUUAAUCUGGGUAUGAGUUUAUGUUUAUAAUGUUGGUUGAUCUUAUCAUUUUUAUCGUAUUCUAUAUGACUAAAAUUUUGUUUUCAUUUGUUUAAGAUUUUAUUAUUUUAUUUUUAUA
RNAcentral lists this long non-coding RNA (701 nucleotides) under Musa acuminata (dwarf banana). RNAcentral describes it as "long non-coding RNA (MACU_LNC000300)". The record is from RNAcentral. Lineage: Eukaryota; Viridiplantae; Streptophyta; Magnoliopsida; Zingiberales; Musaceae.